UCAGGCAACCUAUCCAAGCUGUCCAUGCUCUCUCUGUAGCGCCGGAUGGUCAUCAGGUCGCCAACAGGAUAACUUACCGACGGUCGCUGUUCGGUUCCUAAAUAACAUGUUGUUCAAUGUUGCUGAAACUAUAAUAUAGUUUCAGCAACAUUAAGGGGAAGGACAAUU
RNAcentral lists this small nucleolar RNA (168 nucleotides) under Gadus morhua (Atlantic cod). The record is from RNAcentral. Lineage: Eukaryota; Metazoa; Chordata; Actinopteri; Gadiformes; Gadidae.